UACGGAGGAUGCAAGCGUUAUCCGGAUUCAUUGGGCUUAAAGGGUGCGUAGGCGGGGCGGUAAGUCAGUGGUGAAAGCCUGCAGCUUAACUGUAGAAUUGCCAUUGAUACUGUCGCUCUUGAAUGCGGUUGAGGCAGGCGGAAUGUGUAAUGUAGCGGUGAAAUGCGUAGAUAUUACGCAGAACACCGAUUGCGUAGGCAGCUUGCUAAACCGUGAUUGACGCUGAGGCACGAAAGCGUGGGGAGCAAACAGG
Molecule: ribosomal RNA, 253 nt
Filed under: uncultured bacterium
Lineage: Bacteria
Description: partial 16S ribosomal RNA
Rfam family: Bacterial small subunit ribosomal RNA
Source: RNAcentral